AUUUUUAAACCUUUGUCCCUCUAAUUUAAGACUAUGUCCUCUUGUUGUGGUAGUUUUUCUUCUUUUAAAUAUAGUUUCCUCCUUUACUGUGUUGAUUCCCUUUAUGUAUUUAAAUGUUUCUAUCAUAUCCCCCUGUCUCGUCUUUCCUCCAAGCUUUACAUGUUAAGAUCCUUUAACCUUUCCUGGUAGGUUUUAUCCCGCAAUCCAUGAACCAGUUUAGUAGCCCUUCUCUGAACCCUCUCUAAGGUAUCAAUAUCCUUCUGAAGAUACGGUCUCCAGUACUGUGUACAAUACUC
Molecule: non-coding RNA, 296 nt
Organism: Pelobates cultripes (western spadefoot toad)
Lineage: Eukaryota; Metazoa; Chordata; Amphibia; Anura; Pelobatidae
Source: the annotation of a GenBank genome assembly